CGGACGGGUGAGUAACGCGUGAGAAUCUGGCUUCAGGUUCGGGACAACAGUUGGAAACGGCUGCUAAUACCGGAUGUGCCUUAUGGUGAAAGAUUUAUCACCUGAAGAUGAGCUCGCGUCUGAUUAGCUAGUAGGUGUGGUAAGAGCGCACCUAGGCGACGAUCAGUAGCUGGUCUGAGAGGAUGAUCAGCCACACUGGGACUGAGACACGGCCCAGACUCCUACGGGAGGCAGCAGUGGGGAAUUUUCCGCAAUGGGCGAAAGCCUGACGGAGCAAUACCGCGUGAGGGAGGAAGGCUCUUGGGUUGUAAACCUCUUUUCUCAGGGAAGAAUGAUGACGGUACCUGAGGAAUAAGCAUCGGCUAACUCCGUGCCAGCAGCCGCGGUAAUACGGAGGAUGCAAGCGUUAUCCGGAAUGAUUGGGCGUAAAGCGUCCGCAGGUGGCAAUGUAAGUCUGCUGUCAAAGCGUCUGGCUCAACCAGAUAAAGGCAGUGGAAACUACAUAGCUAGAGUAAGGUAGGGGUAGAGGGAAUUCCUGGUGUAGCGGUGAAAUGCGUAGAGAUCAGGAAGAACACCGGUGGCGAAAGCGCUCUGCUGGACCUUAACUGACACUGAGGGACGAAAGCUAGGGGAGCGAAUGGGAUUAGAUACCCCAGUAGUC
RNAcentral lists this ribosomal RNA (661 nucleotides) under Scytonema javanicum FACHB-887. Its description in RNAcentral is "bacterial SSU rRNA". It matches the Rfam family "Bacterial small subunit ribosomal RNA", at positions 99 to 795 of the family's 1533-position model. The record is from RNAcentral. RNAcentral also lists the same sequence under 1 other name. Lineage: Bacteria; Bacillati; Cyanobacteriota; Cyanophyceae; Nostocales; Scytonemataceae.